UGUGUGAACAUAGCUGAAUAGAUGCUU
RNAcentral lists this non-coding RNA (27 nucleotides) under Mus musculus (house mouse). Lineage: Eukaryota; Metazoa; Chordata; Mammalia; Rodentia; Muridae. The record is from RNAcentral.